Molecule: non-coding RNA, 275 nt
Filed under: Caldisalinibacter kiritimatiensis
Lineage: Bacteria; Bacillati; Bacillota; Tissierellia; Tissierellales; Thermohalobacteraceae
Description: Bacterial large subunit ribosomal RNA
Rfam family: Bacterial large subunit ribosomal RNA
Source: Rfam by way of RNAcentral
AGGUUAAGGACUUUAGGUCUGGAGCCGCAGGGAAACCGAGUCUUAAACGGGCGUUUAGUUGCAUGGCGUAGACCCGAAACCGGGUGACCUACCCAUGGGCAGGGUGAAGCGGAAGUAAAAUUCCGUGGAGGCCCGAACCGUUUGGUGUUAAAAAACCAUCGGAUGACUUGUGGGUAGCGGUGAAAUUCCAAUCGAACUCGGAUAUAGCUGGUUCUCCCCGAAAUAGCUUUAGGGCUAGCCUCAAGUUAGUGAUGUGGGGGUAGAGCACUGAAUGG